Molecule: transfer RNA, 69 nt
Filed under: Batagur kachuga (red-crowned roofed turtle)
Lineage: Eukaryota; Metazoa; Chordata; Testudines; Geoemydidae
Description: tRNA-Met
Rfam family: tRNA
About the family: Transfer RNA (tRNA) molecules are approximately 80 nucleotides in length.
Source: RNAcentral
AGUAAAGUCAGCUAAUUAAGCUCUUGGGCCCAUACCCCAAAAAUGUUGGUUCAAAUCCCUCCUGUACUA